GGCAAACGUGAUGAGAUGUCACCUCUGAGAUGAGGAUGUGAAACUCUCACUUCCCUCUUGCUGGCACUGUGGCUCUUUCACUCAUUCACUCUAAGGAAAGCCACACUGAGAGCUGCCCUGGGGAGGUGUCCCUGUGGCCAGGAACUGAGGGCAACCCUCCAGCCAACAACCAGCGAAGAACUGAGGCUCUCGGCCCAACAGCCUGCGUGGAAUGGAAUCCCACCAACAACCAUGGCAGUGAGCUUGAAAGUGGCCCCUCCCCAUCUCGAGCCUGAGAUGACCACAGCCCCAGCUGGACCGGGAACGCAGCCUGCAGACUCUGAGAUGGAGGACUCGGACGGAAAAGUGCCCCAAACCCUGUGUUCCGAAGACUUUGGGCCCAUGGUAUGGAAGCACGAGAGAUGCUCUAAAGGAACACUAAACCAGUAGUAACUCACAUGUGGAUGUGGCCGGUAUAUAACCCUGGACUUCAAGAUUAAGGAUUCCAGAGUAGUGGAGCCAAAUGAUGGACAUGGCUGGAUCCCUGAGUUAUUGCUUCAAGGAGAGACAUCCAGGAAAGAUGUGAGACCUCCAUCAGUUUGUAUGAGCAAGAAAUGUUUAUUGCUGUUAGGCACUGAUAUUUGGUUUUGUUUUUUUAAUGGAAGCUAGCAUGAACUAAUUACCCUGACAAAAACAGGUGGAGACUGUUGUCAUACCCACCUUACAGAUGAGAACAUUGAGGCAAAAGAGGAUAAGUAACAUGUCCAAGGUCGCAAAACCAGUGAGUGGCAAGGCUGAGACUGAGCCCACGUCCAUCGGGCUUUGGGAAUCUGUUCUUCCUUUUUUUCCCUCACCUUGUUCAUAGUUUU
Molecule: long non-coding RNA, 848 nt
Filed under: Equus caballus (horse)
Lineage: Eukaryota; Metazoa; Chordata; Mammalia; Perissodactyla; Equidae
Description: lncRNA (ENSECAG00000046121.1)
Source: RNAcentral